RNAcentral lists this non-coding RNA (162 nucleotides) under Prevotella koreensis. Lineage: Bacteria; Pseudomonadati; Bacteroidota; Bacteroidia; Bacteroidales; Prevotellaceae. The record is from RNAcentral.
GCAGGUUCUCGCCUUUUGGAGAUGAAAAGGGAAUCGGGUGAAACUCCCGGACAGACCCGCUGCUGUAAGCCGAAAUUGUAAAGGCACGAACAAGAAUGUCACUGAGAUUAUUGGGAAGACGUUCGUUGCCGUCGGCAAAGUCAGAAGACCUGCCUGCAUAAA